RNAcentral lists this transfer RNA (73 nucleotides) under Mustela putorius furo (domestic ferret). It matches the Rfam family "tRNA". Rfam says of the family: Transfer RNA (tRNA) molecules are approximately 80 nucleotides in length. Lineage: Eukaryota; Metazoa; Chordata; Mammalia; Carnivora; Mustelidae. The record is from Rfam by way of RNAcentral.
GCCUGGCUGGAUCAGUUGGUAGAGCAUGUGACUCUGGAUCUCAGAGUCAUGAGUUCAAACCCCAUGUAGGGCA